CCUGGAGCAGUCGCCUCUGUAGCACUUGAGGGUUGCUUCGAGCACUCUUGGUCAUGCUUGCUGGUUGAAGUGGGACGCAGCAGCCUCACUGAAGUAGAGAUGCCAUUGCAGUCAGGUGUUGACGACAGCCCAGUGCCAUCCAGCCUUGACUUGGUGACCAGGUAGAAGUCUUCUGCACUCAACUUAGUGACAGUCCUGGGUAUCUUGGGUGGAGAGGCACUUUCCGACUCUUCCGAUUCAAGGACUUUUUGGUGUCCUGAUAGGCCUCAGACCAAAGUUACCCCCCUUAACUUUUACCAUGACCCGGAAG
Haliotis rubra (blacklip abalone) is the source of this 310-nucleotide long non-coding RNA. RefSeq lists it as uncharacterized. The transcript has 3 exons. Lineage: Eukaryota; Metazoa; Mollusca; Gastropoda; Lepetellida; Haliotidae. The record is from RefSeq and is a predicted model, not a curated record.